Non-coding RNA from Lupinus angustifolius (narrow-leaved blue lupine), 105 nucleotides. The record is from Rfam. NCBI's taxonomy places the organism in Eukaryota, Viridiplantae, Streptophyta, Magnoliopsida, Fabales, Fabaceae.
GCUGAGACUCAGCUGCUGACUCGUUGGUUCGAGAGCUCAUCAUUAAAAUGUAGCAACAUGCAUGGUGUGCUUCUGAUCCAACGAUGCGGGAGCUGUGUUCAGUUA